This 555-nucleotide long non-coding RNA is filed under the name Mus pahari (shrew mouse). Its description in RNAcentral is "lncRNA (MGP_PahariEiJ_G0004246.1)". The record is from RNAcentral. Lineage: Eukaryota; Metazoa; Chordata; Mammalia; Rodentia; Muridae.
GAUGACUGUCCUGUAGGCUUCUAUGUCCACCAUCUAGAGCCCAAGCAAGCCGGAUGGGGACUCUUCACUUCUCUAGAGCUCCAGACUCUGCUUAGCCGCAGAUGAGAGGUAGCCAGACUGUGUAGAGCCAAAGGAACCUAAGAAGAUGGGGGCAAAGGUAGCAGGAAAGAACAAUGCUCUUCAAGUACCUUGACAGUGCUGAGAGCUAAGCAGUCCCGACCAUGCUCUAUGGGCCUCUUUGUACCAUGCUCUUUCUACGAGCCAUAUGAUCAAAAUAAGGAGAAGAGAGGUUCAUGAAUGUGGGCUGUAAUUAACUGCAUAGUUAAAGCAAACCCUGGAGUCCCAUCGGAUGGGGUAAAUACAUGUGACCCCCACCUUGGGUUAAGCCCUUAUGUAGUCACAGGGCCACCGUGGUGGGUGGAGACUGAUGAAUGCUUUUUGACGGUCAGAAGAGACAAGUUUUGGAAGUCGAGAAGACACAACUUAGCAGAAGCUUUUUUUGUUGUUGUUGUUAAGGAUUUACACCAUCCAGGACAGUUAAAAGCUGGACUGAAG